Molecule: non-coding RNA, 21 nt
Filed under: Rattus norvegicus (Norway rat)
Lineage: Eukaryota; Metazoa; Chordata; Mammalia; Rodentia; Muridae
Source: RNAcentral
UAGGUACAUUUGGAGGUCCUC